UUCUUUCUUUUGGUUUUGGGGUGAAAUGACCCAUUUUAUGAGAUUCACCUGGCUAUCACACACACAUUCGUUAAUGAACUAAAUCACUGAAUCAAGGCAGGUGUGCGUCUAAGAAUACAAUCGACCUGCAUGGGGUCUAAAUUAGGUCCUGUCAUAAAACACUUUCUUUGCAAACAAAGACAGAGAGUGAAAAAAACAGUUUUUAAUUCAGUAAAAGCCCUGCCAAAAAUCACAACGUGCCCAAGGAAGGAUUGUGUAUUCAGCCAGAGGAAACAGUUAUCUUCUUUGGUGUGAACAGACCUUAAGGUCAACUGAAGCAUCUUUAUCUACUCGAUGAAGCAUCCAAUGAUUCAUCUCAGCUGCGCCAGGAAGGACAGUUGAGGUUCUGACUUACUGCUAGUCACUCAAACAGCACUAACCCUCAGGGAGACAGUAAGUUUGCAGCAUGUUCGGACAUAAACGCAUGCAAUCAUCUCCUGAGAGGUAGCCGCAUGACUCAACAGAAACUUCACCAGCUACAAUACCCUGGACUGUUCCAGUUCUCCAGGGAAGAGGCCUGCAACAAAAGAGCAUUGAUGCAAAGAGCUGACAAAGGUCCGUCAUGUGUGAUUUUGCAGGGCGAGAUGCAGACAUUAGCGGCGCUGGAACAACAAGCAGCUCUGUGGCCAGACAUCUGCUCUGCAUUAGCUCGGUGCUUACUAACAGAGUGCUAGCAUGUCACACCAGCACUCCUCCAUCAGAGCCAGCGCUGGAGAAUGCUGCACAUCCAGGACAAUUAUAGGGCCUCCAAUAAAUCCCAGCUGAAGUUUCUGAUUAUCUUUCUAUUUAUGAGAGGAACUUGAACGGAAAGCUCACACUGAGUUCUUGCGCCGCUGCAUUUAAUAAACAAGUCUGCCAAAA
Molecule: long non-coding RNA, 900 nt
Organism: Cyprinus carpio (common carp)
Lineage: Eukaryota; Metazoa; Chordata; Actinopteri; Cypriniformes; Cyprinidae
Exons: 2
Source: RefSeq, a predicted model, not a curated record